Molecule: small nuclear RNA, 126 nt
Filed under: Tupaia belangeri chinensis (Chinese tree shrew)
Lineage: Eukaryota; Metazoa; Chordata; Mammalia; Scandentia; Tupaiidae
Description: Tupaia chinensis (Chinese tree shrew) U2 spliceosomal RNA
Rfam family: U2 spliceosomal RNA
About the family: U2 is a small nuclear RNA (snRNA) component of the spliceosome (involved in pre-mRNA splicing). Complementary binding between U2 snRNA (in an area lying towards the 5' end but 3' to hairpin I) and the branchpoint sequence (BPS) of the intron results the bulging out of an unpaired adenosine, on the BPS, which initiates a nucleophilic attack at the intronic 5' splice site, thus starting the first of two transesterification reactions that mediate splicing.
Source: Rfam by way of RNAcentral
AUCGCUUCUCGGCCUUUUGGCUAAGAUCAAGUGUAGUCCUUUAGCCUACUUUUAAUAGUGUAACUGCCUGACAUCUAUUAGCUUGCUACUGAUUUCAUUCAUAUCAGUGACAAAUGAAUACAUCCU